Molecule: transfer RNA, 65 nt
Filed under: Araneae sp. MT-2014
Lineage: Eukaryota; Metazoa; Arthropoda; Arachnida; Araneae
Description: tRNA-Arg
Source: RNAcentral
GGAUGAGCUAUUAAGCAGCUUAAUUUCGACUUAAGUGAAGGAAAAUAUAGUGAAGUUCACAUCAU